RNAcentral lists this long non-coding RNA (557 nucleotides) under Homo sapiens (human). RNAcentral describes it as "non-protein coding lnc-MRPL20-1:3". The record is from RNAcentral. Lineage: Eukaryota; Metazoa; Chordata; Mammalia; Primates; Hominidae.
GCAUACGGGACGUCAUCAAUGUGUUUCACCGCCUUCGACAGCUGAGAGACAAAAAGAAGCCCGUGCCUCUACUACUGGAUCAAGAUUAUGUUAAUUUAAAGAACCAAAUUAUAAAGGCGGAAAGACGAGUUCUCAAAGAGUUGGGUUUCUGCGUCCAUGUGAAGCAUCCUCAUAAGAUAAUCGUUAUGUACCUUCAGGUGUUAGAGUGUGAGCGUAACCAACACCUGGUCCAGACCUCAUGGUGAGUUGAGCUUCCUUGUUUUAUGAGACCAGCAAGGGCAGUGCAGGAAUGUGUUGACUUGAGGCACUUGGGCAGUGGGUAGGCAGCCCAGUGACUUGGUUGUGGGCUGGAGUUGUCCGAGUGCCCAGUGCUCCUGCUGUAUAAAUUCCAAUCAGACUCCCAAAAUGGGCACUGGCAGUCACGGUAGGUGGCCCGUCCCCUCCCUGCAAGCCUGGACUUCCUGUGUCCCCCACCCUGAAGAGAGCAGUCAGUGGGCUUCCUCUGGGAGCUGUUGACUUGGCGCAGGGGGACCUUUUCCUGGGGAGGGUGGAGGGAC